Small nuclear RNA from Molossus molossus (Pallas's mastiff bat), 103 nucleotides. NCBI's taxonomy places the organism in Eukaryota, Metazoa, Chordata, Mammalia, Chiroptera, Molossidae. The record is from RefSeq and is a predicted model, not a curated record.
UGGCUUCAGCAGCACACGUACUAAAACUGCAGCGAUACAGAGAAGGUUAGCCCGGCCCCUGCGCAAGGAUGAGAUAUAUGUGAUCAUAACAGAUUAAAUAUAU